Peromyscus californicus insignis is the source of this 552-nucleotide long non-coding RNA. RefSeq lists it as uncharacterized. The transcript is spliced from 2 exons. Lineage: Eukaryota; Metazoa; Chordata; Mammalia; Rodentia; Cricetidae. The record is from RefSeq and is a predicted model, not a curated record.
CCAGUGUGUAGGGGUGUCUGUUGACUGAAAUAGAGCCGUCCAGUCAACUGCAGUUACACGUGUACCAUGUAAAAAACAUUUUCAGUGUCAAGAAGCCAAGACUAUGUCUACCUGAACAAGCUAUUGAAGAGCCAAGUCACAGGUAGACUGAAAAGUUAAUGCCUAAAAGCUAGAUGACUGCGGUUGAUUUGGGAAUUCAGAAGCCGGAGACAAGAUUCUGUAUGAUGAUUUCAGAAGGCUUCAUGGAAGAGAUCUUCUGAGGUGGGAAAGUCCACCUUUAAUCUGGGCCACACCAUCUGCUGGCAGCCUAUACAAAGGAUGUGGAAGAAGGAAGCUUGCUCUCUCUUUGCCGGCUUGUUCUCCUUCUCACUAGCAAGUCCAUUCCUUCACUAGCAUUUGAGCCACUUCUUCAGGAUUCUGGUGUAUACCAAAGAGCAGCCUCGUGGAAAGAACAACUACUGGAUUCUUGGACCUUCUGUUGGUAGACAACCAUUGUUGGACCAGCUGGACCACAGCCUGUAAGCCAUUCUAAUAAACCUCCCCUUAUAUCUA